AUUGUGGACAAGAGAAAUGCGUGGAAAAGCGGCCCCCCUUUCCGAUGAAUGAGCGUGUGUCGACAAAGAGGAUGUUCCGGUUGCGUAGCUGCCAUAUAUGGAAUGUUUCUAGGGCCAUGUUAAUCUGGUUUACGAAUGUAUAUGCUCAUGGGAAUCAAGUGGACGAUGGUACCUAAUCCAGUUCUAGGAAUAUCCAAAAACGGUUUCAUCCAAGUUCAUGAAGCAUAUGCAAACUUGACCAAAUCUACUGCAUAUUUUGCCUGUUCGAGUAGUCUAUGUUCAUGCCAUGUUGUUGGCUAGACAUAUGUGGGAGAAGCUAGGAGAUGAUGACAGGCUAUAU
Molecule: long non-coding RNA, 340 nt
Filed under: Hordeum vulgare
Lineage: Eukaryota; Viridiplantae; Streptophyta; Magnoliopsida; Poales; Poaceae
Description: long non-coding RNA (HVUL_LNC013385)
Source: RNAcentral